GGAGUCUGCCGGACAAUCGCUGUUCUGCUUGCAGGAGGGAGGAAAGUCCGGGCUCUACAGGCAGAGUGCCAGAUAACGUCUGGGCGGCGUGAGCCGACGGAAAGUGCAACAGAAAGUAUACCGCCUAAGGGCUUUUCGAAGUCACGGUAAGGUUGAAAUGGUGCGGUAAGAGCGCACCGCGUGGGUGGCAACACUCCACGGCGAUGGAAAACCCCACUCAGAGCAAGACCAAAUAGGGAUCCUUAAGGUGUGGCCCGCACUGGAUCCGGGUAGGUCGCUUGAGGUGCAUGGUGACAUGUAUCCCAGAUGAAUGAUUGUCCCCGACAAAACCCGGCUUACAGGCAGACUCCCACA
This 354-nucleotide RNase P RNA is filed under the name Nitrincola sp. A-D6. RNAcentral describes it as "Bacterial RNase P class A". It matches the Rfam family "Bacterial RNase P class A". From Rfam's summary of the family: Ribonuclease P (RNase P) is a ubiquitous endoribonuclease, found in archaea, bacteria and eukarya as well as chloroplasts and mitochondria. Its best characterised activity is the generation of mature 5'-ends of tRNAs by cleaving the 5'-leader elements of precursor-tRNAs. The record is from Rfam by way of RNAcentral. Lineage: Bacteria; Pseudomonadati; Pseudomonadota; Gammaproteobacteria; Oceanospirillales; Oceanospirillaceae.